GGUUAAGUUAGAAAGGGCGCACGGUGGAUGCCUUGGCACUAGGAGCCGAAGAAGGACGGGACUAACACCGAUAUGCUUUGGGGAGCUGUACGUAAGCGUUGAUCCAGAGAUUUCCGAAUGGGGGAACCCACUAUCUUUAGUCGGAUAGUAUCCUUACGUGAAUACAUAGCGUGAGGAAGGCAGACCCAGGGAACUGAAACAUCUAAGUACCUGGAGGAAGAGAAAGAAAAAUCGAUUUCCUGAGUAGCGGCGAGCGAAACGGAAAGAGCCCAAACCAAGAAGCUUGCUUCUUGGGGUUGUAGGACACUCUAUACGGAGUUACAAAAGAAAGUUAUAAAUGAAGCGGUCUGGAAAGGCCCGCCAAAGACGGUAACAGCCCGGUAGUUGAAAUGGCUUUCCCUCCAGAGUGGAUCCUGAGUACGGCGGAACACGUGAAAUUCCGUCGGAAUCCGGGAGGACCAUCUCCCAAGGCUAAAUACUCCCUAGUGACCGAUAGUGAACCAGUACCGUGAGGGAAAGGUGAAAAGCACCCCGGAAGGGGAGUGAAACAGUUCCUGAAACCGUGUGCCUACAAGUAGUUAGAGCCCGUUAAUGGGUGAUAGCGUGCCUUUUGUAGAAUGAACCGGCGAGUUACGAUUUGUUGCAAGGUUAAGCGGAAAAAGCGGAGCCGUAGCGAAAGCGAGUCUGAAUAGGGCGCAUAAGUAACAGGUCGUAGACCCGAAACCAGGUGAUCUACCCAUGUCCAGGAUGAAGGUAAGGUAAUACUUACUGGAGGUCCGAACCCACGCACGUUGAAAAGUGCGGGGAUGAGGUGUGGGUAGCGGAGAAAUUCCAAUCGAACUUGGAGAUAGCUGGUUCUCUCCGAAAUAGCUUUAGGGCUAGCCUCGAGGUAAAGAGUCAUGGAGGUAGAGCACUGUUUGGACUAGGGGCCCUUCUCGGGUUACCGAAUUCAGAUAAACUCCGAAUGCCAUGUACUUAUACUCGGGAGUCAGACUGCGAGUGAUAAGAUCCGUAGUCGAAAGGGAAACAGCCCAGACCACCAGUUAAGGUCCCCAAAUAUAUGUUAAGUGGAAAAGGAUGUGGGGUUGCUUAGACAACCAGGAUGUUGGCUUAGAAGCAGCCACCAUUGAAAGAGUGCGUAAUAGCUCACUGGUCGAGUGACCCCGCGCCGAAAAUGUACCGGGGCUAAACAUAUUACCGAAACUGUGGAUGAACCUCUUUAGAGGUUCGUGGUAGGAGAGCGUUCUAAGGGCGGUGAAGUCAGACCGGAAGGACUGGUGGAGCGCUUAGAAGUGAGAAUGCCGGUAUGAGUAGCGAAAGAAGGGUGAGAAUCCCUUCCACCGAAUAUCUAAGGUUUCCUGAGGAAGGCUCGUCCGCUCAGGGUUAGUCGGGACCUAAGCCGAGGCCGAUAGGCGUAGGCGAUGGACAACAGGUAGAGAUUCCUGUACCAGUGCUAAUUGUUUAACCGAUGGGGUGACACAGAAGGAUAGGGAAUCGCACGAAUGGAAAUGUGCGUCCAAGCAGUGAGUGUGAGA
This 1535-nucleotide ribosomal RNA is filed under the name Listeria monocytogenes. Its description in RNAcentral is "partial 23S ribosomal RNA". It matches the Rfam family "Bacterial large subunit ribosomal RNA", at positions 1 to 1530 of the family's 2925-position model. Lineage: Bacteria; Bacillati; Bacillota; Bacilli; Caryophanales; Listeriaceae. The record is from RNAcentral.